Molecule: unclassified non-coding RNA, 211 nt
Filed under: Hevea brasiliensis (rubber tree)
Lineage: Eukaryota; Viridiplantae; Streptophyta; Magnoliopsida; Malpighiales; Euphorbiaceae
Source: RNAcentral
AAUUAACGGCAAUAUUAAAUGGAGUCAUAUUUAAUUUUAAAGGAAGUGUAGAGAUUAAAUUAUUUAAUUUCUAAAAUAUAGAAAUUAAAUUAUAAUAUCGAUUAAAAUUCAAGGACCCAAAAGUAAAUUUUCCUAUUGUUGAUUAAUAUCUAAGACUAGUAUAUAUAAAUAAUAGAAUUAAAAACUUACGUUAAUGCAAGACCCUCGCGAU